GACGAACGCUGGCGGCGGGCUUAACACAUGCAAGUCGAACGGAAAGGCCCUGCUUUUGUGGGGUGCUCGAGUGGCGAACGGGUGAGUAACACGUGAGUAACCUGCCCUGUACGUUGGGAUAACUUCAGGAAACUGGGGCUAAUACCUGAUAGGAGCUCCUGCUGCAGGGUGGGGGUUGGAAAGUUUCGGCGGUUGGGGAUGGACUCGGGGCUUAUCAGCUUGUUGGUGGGGUAGUGGCUUACCAAGGCUUUGACGGGUAGCCGGCCUGAGAGGGUGACCGGCCACAUUGGGCCUGAGAUACGGCGCAGACUCCUACGGGAGGCAGCAGUGGGGAAUAUUGCCCAAUGGGCGGAAGCCUGAUGCAGCAACGCCGCGUGCGGGAUGACGGCCUUCGGGUUGUAAACCGCUUUCGCCUGUGACGAAGCGUGAGUGACGGUAAUGGGUAAAGAAGCACCGGCUAACUACGUG
RNAcentral lists this ribosomal RNA (468 nucleotides) under uncultured bacterium. RNAcentral describes it as "partial 16S ribosomal RNA". It matches the Rfam family "Bacterial small subunit ribosomal RNA", at positions 28 to 507 of the family's 1533-position model. The record is from RNAcentral.